AUGUACCCACGUACACUCCGGUUCCUCCGCGCCGUCCGCCCCCACCUGACGGCUGCUCGCUACGUUUUGUUAGCC
This 75-nucleotide small RNA is filed under the name Xanthomonas campestris pv. campestris. Its description in RNAcentral is "sX9 sRNA". It matches the Rfam family "Xanthomonas sRNA sX9". Lineage: Bacteria; Pseudomonadati; Pseudomonadota; Gammaproteobacteria; Lysobacterales; Lysobacteraceae. The record is from RNAcentral.